RNAcentral lists this ribosomal RNA (497 nucleotides) under uncultured bacterium. Its description in RNAcentral is "partial 16S ribosomal RNA". It matches the Rfam family "Bacterial small subunit ribosomal RNA", at positions 28 to 507 of the family's 1533-position model. The record is from RNAcentral.
GAUGAACGCUGGCGGCGUGCCUAAUACAUGCAAGUCGAGCGAACGGACGAGGAGCUUGCUUUUCUGAUGUUAGCGGCGGACGGGUGAGUAACACGUGGAUAACCUACCUAUAAGACUGGGAUAACUUCGGGAAACCGGAGCUAAUACCGGAUAAUAUUUUGAACCGCAUGGUUCAAAAGUGAAAGACGGUCUUGCUGUCACUUAUAGAUGGAUCCGCGCUGCAUUAGCUAGUUGGUAAGGUAACGGCUUACCAAGGCAACGAUGCAUAGCCGACCUGAGAGGGGGAUCGGCCACACUGGAACUGAGACACGGUCCAGACUCCUACGGGAGGCAGCAGUAGGGAAUCUUCCGCAAUGGGCGAAAGCCUGACGGAGCAACGCCGCGUGAGUGAUGAAGGUCUUCGGAUCGUAAAACUCUGUUAUUAGGGAAGAACAUAUGUGUAAGUAACUGUGCACAUCUUGACGGUACCUAAUCAGAAAGCCACGGCUAACUACGUG